GGACUACCGGGGUAUCUAAUCCUGUUUGCUACCCACGCUUUCGCGUCUCAGUGUCAGGAACGGCCCAGAAGGCCGCCUUCGCCGCCGGUAUUCCUCCUAAUAUCUACGAAUUUCACCUCUACACUAGGAAUUCCACCUUCCUCUACCGUCCUCCAGCUAGUUAGUUUCGACUGCACUUCCUCGGUUGAGCCCAGGGAUUUCACAAUCGACUUAACUAACCACCUACACGCGCUUUACGCCCAAUAAUUCCGAACAACGCUUGCACCCUACGUAUUACCGCGGCUGCUGGCAC
This 292-nucleotide ribosomal RNA is filed under the name uncultured bacterium. RNAcentral's name for it is "partial 16S ribosomal RNA". The record is from RNAcentral.